RNAcentral lists this long non-coding RNA (345 nucleotides) under Spirodela polyrhiza (greater duckweed). RNAcentral describes it as "long non-coding RNA (SPOL_LNC002666)". The record is from RNAcentral. Lineage: Eukaryota; Viridiplantae; Streptophyta; Magnoliopsida; Alismatales; Araceae.
GCUCCUCGACCUGUCACUGCUCGGCUACGCCUCCUAUGCCGGUGCUCGAAUUGUGUCACUGGCGAUCAACAGGAAGCUCCGGCGGCGGGUCUGCAUUCUGAUCCUCUCGGUUGACUUUCUAAUCCUGCUGCGGAUCGUCUUCCUCGGCCUGUCGAUCCUGCCGGUGCCCGGCGGCCCGCCCUUCGAGGCUCUCGUGUUCUUGGCCUUCCUGAUGCAGCUGCUCUGUGCCGCGGCGGGCGUGUCCGUGCUGGUCUUCUACCCGGUGGCGGACUCCCUGGCGCUGAGAGGGGCCCUGCAUUUUGACAUUGGAGAGGCGCCCUUCGACGACUAUUACAGCGAUGGCGC